ACAGUGGUCUAUAUCUGUAUUGUG
Molecule: non-coding RNA, 24 nt
Filed under: Arabidopsis thaliana (thale cress)
Lineage: Eukaryota; Viridiplantae; Streptophyta; Magnoliopsida; Brassicales; Brassicaceae
Source: RNAcentral